This 71-nucleotide transfer RNA is filed under the name Draco maculatus. RNAcentral describes it as "tRNA-Ile". The record is from RNAcentral. Lineage: Eukaryota; Metazoa; Chordata; Lepidosauria; Squamata; Agamidae.
AGAAAUGUGCCCGAAACAAAUAGGGGCUAUUUUGAUAAAAUAGACAUAGAGCACACGCCCUCUCAUUUCCA